Molecule: ribosomal RNA, 472 nt
Filed under: uncultured bacterium
Lineage: Bacteria
Description: bacterial SSU rRNA
Rfam family: Bacterial small subunit ribosomal RNA
Source: RNAcentral
ACUCCUACGGGAGGCAGCAGUGGGGAAUAUUGCACAAUGGGCGCAAGCCUGAUGCAGCCAUGCCGCGUGUAUGAAGAAGGCCUUCGGGUUGUAAAGUACUUUCAGCAGUGAGGAAGGUGGGUAUGUUAAUAGCAUAUUCAUUUGACGUUAGCUGCAGAAGAAGCACCGGCUAACUCCGUGCCAGCAGCCGCGGUAAUACGGAGGGUGCGAGCGUUAAUCGGAAUUACUGGGCGUAAAGCGCAUGCAGGUGGUUUGUUAAGUCAGAUGUGAAAGCCCGGGGCUCAACCUCGGAAUUGCAUUUGAAACUGGCAAACUAGAGUACUGUAGAGGGGGGUAGAAUUUCAGGUGUAGCGGUGAAAUGCGUAGAGAUCUGAAGGAAUACCGGUGGCGAAGGCGGCCCCCUGGACAGAUACUGACACUCAGAUGCGAAAGCGUGGGGAGCAAACAGGAUUAGAUCCCUGGUAGGCUCUGC